RNAcentral lists this ribosomal RNA (443 nucleotides) under uncultured bacterium. RNAcentral describes it as "partial 16S ribosomal RNA". It matches the Rfam family "Bacterial small subunit ribosomal RNA", at positions 338 to 795 of the family's 1533-position model. The record is from RNAcentral.
CCUACGCGUGGCAGCAGUGGGGAAUAUUGGACAAUGGGGGGAACCCUGAUCCAGCGACGCCGCGUGAGUGAAGAAGUAUUUCGGUAUGUAAAGCUCUAUCAGCAGGGAAGAAAGAAAUGACGGUACCUGACUAAGAAGCCCCGGCUAACUACGUGCCAGCAGCCGAGGUAAUACGUAGGGGGCAAGCGUUAUCCGGAUUUACUGGGUGUAAAGGGAGCGUAGACGGCGAUGCAAGUCUGAAGUGAAAGGCGGGGGCCCAACCUCCGGACUGCUUUGGAAACUGUAUGGCUGGAGUGCAGGAGAGGUAAGUGGAAUUCCUAGUGUAGCGGUGAAAUGCGUAGAUAUUAGGAGGAACACCAGUGGCGAAGGCGGCUUACUGAACUGUAACUGACGUUGAGGCUCGAAAGCGUGGGGAGCAAACAGGAUUAGAUACCCGGGUAGUC